Molecule: long non-coding RNA, 154 nt
Organism: Populus euphratica (Euphrates poplar)
Lineage: Eukaryota; Viridiplantae; Streptophyta; Magnoliopsida; Malpighiales; Salicaceae
Exons: 2
Source: RefSeq, a predicted model, not a curated record
UAUUAGAAAAGUUGGUCAAUGGAAAACGCUUUCCAGUCAAAGAAAGAUUUAGCUUGAUUUUCAGGAAAGCGUUUCCUUGAAAAAUUUGGGCGGAAAACACUUACCAGAAGUUGUAAAAAAUUUAGAAAUGUCAUUAUUUGCUGAUUAUAUCAAA